GGCGACGUAGCUCAAUGGCAGAGCAGGGGACUCAUAAGCCCUUGGUUCCCAGUUCAAAUCUGGGCGUCGCCA
Molecule: transfer RNA, 72 nt
Filed under: Pseudomonadota bacterium
Lineage: Bacteria; Pseudomonadati; Pseudomonadota
Also listed under: 2 other names
Description: Proteobacteria bacterium tRNA-Met
Rfam family: tRNA
About the family: Transfer RNA (tRNA) molecules are approximately 80 nucleotides in length.
Source: RNAcentral